This 837-nucleotide ribosomal RNA is filed under the name uncultured archaeon. RNAcentral's name for it is "bacterial SSU rRNA". It matches the Rfam family "Archaeal small subunit ribosomal RNA", at positions 85 to 922 of the family's 1478-position model. The record is from RNAcentral.
ACGGCUCAGUAACACGUAGUCAAUCUAACCUAUGGACGGGGAUAACCUCGGGAAACUGAGAAUAAUACCCGAUAGAUCAUUAUACCUGGAAUGGUUUAUGGUUCAAAUGAUUCGUCGCCAUAGGAUGGGACUGCGGUCUAUCAGCUUGUUGGUGAGGUAAUGGCUCACCAAGGCUAUAACAGAUACGGGCUCUGAGAGGAGAGGCCCGGAGAUGGGUACUGAGACACGGACCCAGGCCCUAUGGGGCGCAGCAGGCGAGAAAACUUUGCAAUGUGCGAAAGCACGACAAGGUUAAUCCGAGUGGUUUCUGCUAAAGAGAUCUUUUGUCAGUCCUAAAAACACUGAUGAAUAAGGGGUGGGCAAGUUCUGGUGUCAGCCGCCGCGGUAAAACCAGCACCUCAAGUGGUCAGGAGGAUUAUUGGGCCUAAAGCAUCCGUAGCCGGCUGUGUAAGUUUUCGGUUAAAUCUACAUGCUCAACAUGUAGGCCGCCGGGAAUACUGUACAGCUAGGGAGUGGGAGAGGUAGACGGUACUCCGUAGGAAGGGGUAAAAUCCUUUGAUCUAUGGAUGACCACCUGUGGCGAAGGCGGUCUACUAGAACACGUCCGACGGUGAGGGAUGAAAGCUGGGGGAGCAAACCGGAUUAGAUACCCGGGUAGUCCCAGCUGUAAACAAUGCAAACUCAGUGAUGCACUGGCUUGUGGCCAGUGCAGUGCCGCAGGGAAGCCGUUAAGUUUGCCGCCUGGGAAGUACGUACGCAAGUAUGAAACUUAAAGGAAUUGGCGGGGGAGCACCACAAAGGGGUGAAGCCUGCGGUUCAAUUGGAUUCAACGCCGGG